ACAUCCAGCGAACUUGGCAGAGAUGCCUUUGGUGCCUUCGGGAACGCUGAGACAGGUGCUGCAUGGCUGUCGUCAGCUCGUGUUGUGAAAUGUUGGGUUAAGUCCCGNAACGAGCGCAACCCUUUAUCCUUUGUUGCCAGCGAUUCGGUCGGGAACUCAAAGGAGACUGCCGGUGAUAAACCGGAGGAAGGUGGGGAUGACGUCAAGUCAUCAUGGCCCUUACGAGUAGGGCUACACACGUGCUACAAUGGCGCAUACAAAGAGAAGCGACCUCGCGAGAGCAAGCGGACCUCAUAAAGUGCGUCGUAGUCCGGAUCGGAGUCUGCAACUCGACUCCGUGAAGUCGGAAUCGCUAGUAAUCGUGGAUCAGAAUGCCACGGUGAAUACGUUCCCGGGCCUUGUACACACCGCCCGUCACACCAUGGGAGUGGGUUGCAAAAGAAGUAGGUAGCUUAACCUUCGGGAGGGCGCUUACCACUUUGUGAUUCAUGACUGGGGUGAAGUCGUAACAAGGUAGGCGUAGCGAG
RNAcentral lists this ribosomal RNA (527 nucleotides) under uncultured bacterium. RNAcentral describes it as "bacterial SSU rRNA". It matches the Rfam family "Bacterial small subunit ribosomal RNA", at positions 984 to 1509 of the family's 1533-position model. The record is from RNAcentral.